GCCCAACAUUUCAGCUUACGGAGAUAAUGACAUUAAUGCUACGGAAAAGAAUGGAGACACUAAAGAUUUUGAACCUAGACCCAACAUUUCAGCUUAUGGAGACAAUGAGAUUGAUGUUAAAGAAAAGAAGGGAGCCGCUAAAGAUUUUGAACCAAGACCCAACAUUUCAGCUUAUGGAGACAAUGAUAUUGAUGUCAAGGAAAAGAAGGGAGCCACUAAAGAUUUUGAACCAAGACCAAACAUUUCAGCUUAUGGAGACAAUGACAUAGAUGUGAAUGAAAAGAAGGGAGCUGCUAAAGAUUUUGAACCACGACCCAACAUUUCAGCUUAUGGAGACAAUGACAUAGAUGUUAAUGAAAAGAAGGGAGCUACUAAAGAUUUUGAACCACGACCCAACAUUUCAGCUUAUGGAGACAAUGAGAUUGAUGUUAAGGAAAAGAAGGGAGCCACUAAAGAUUUUGAACCACGACCAAACAUUUCAGCUUAUGGAGACAAUGACAUAGAUGUGAAUGAAAAGAAGGGAGCUGCUAAAGAUUUUGAACCACGACCCAACAUUUCAGCUUAUGGAGACAAUGACAUAGAUGUUAAUGAAAAGAAGGGAGCUACUAAAGAUUUUGAAC
This 620-nucleotide long non-coding RNA is filed under the name Medicago truncatula (barrel medic). Its description in RNAcentral is "long non-coding RNA (MTRU_LNC000349)". The record is from RNAcentral. Lineage: Eukaryota; Viridiplantae; Streptophyta; Magnoliopsida; Fabales; Fabaceae.